Molecule: ribosomal RNA, 465 nt
Filed under: Vreelandella stevensii
Lineage: Bacteria; Pseudomonadati; Pseudomonadota; Gammaproteobacteria; Oceanospirillales; Halomonadaceae
Description: partial 16S ribosomal RNA
Rfam family: Bacterial small subunit ribosomal RNA
Source: RNAcentral
CCUACGGGUGGCAGCAGUGGGGAAUAUUGGACAAUGGGCGAAAGCCUGAUCCAGCCAUGCCGCGUGUGUGAAGAAGGCCUUCGGGUUGUAAAGCACUUUCAGUGGGGAAGAAAGCCUUGGGGCUAAUACCCUCGAGGAAGGACAUCACCCACAGAAGAAGCACCGGCUAACUCCGUGCCAGCAGCCGCGGUAAUACGGAGGGUGCGAGCGUUAAUCGGAAUUACUGGGCGUAAAGCGCGCGUAGGCGGUCUGAUAAGCCGGUUGUGAAAGCCCCGGGCUCAACCUGGGAACGGCAUCCGGAACUGUCAGGCUAGAGUGCAGGAGAGGAAAGUAGAAUUCCCGGUGUAGCGGUGAAAUGCGUAGAGAUCGGGAGGAAUACCAGUGGCGAAGGCGGCCUUCUGGACUGACACUGACGCUGAGGUGCGAAAGCGUGGGUAGCAAACAGGAUUAGAUACCCGUGUAGUC